Molecule: ribosomal RNA, 238 nt
Filed under: uncultured Glomus
Lineage: Eukaryota; Fungi; Glomeromycota; Glomeromycetes; Glomerales; Glomeraceae
Description: partial 18S ribosomal RNA
Rfam family: Eukaryotic small subunit ribosomal RNA (bases 51-238)
Source: RNAcentral
GAUCCGGCUGCUGUUGGUCGGCCGCAUAGGUCUGUACUCUGCUGGCCGGAUCUUUCCUUCUGGAGAACCAACAUGCCAUUUACUUGGUGUGUUGGCGAUCCAGGACUUUUACCUUGAAAAAAUUAGAGUGUUUAAAGCAGGCUUACGCUUGAAUACAUUAGCAUGGAAUAAUAGAAUAGGACUUUGGUUCUAUUUUGUUGGUUUCUAGGACCGAAGUAAUGAUUAAUAGGGAUAGUUG